This 377-nucleotide ribosomal RNA is filed under the name uncultured bacterium. RNAcentral describes it as "bacterial SSU rRNA". It matches the Rfam family "Bacterial small subunit ribosomal RNA", at positions 431 to 793 of the family's 1533-position model. The record is from RNAcentral.
CACUUUCAGUAGGGAGGAAGGUAGUGUAGUUAACACCUGCACAUUUGACGUUACCUACAGAAGAAGCACCGGCUAACUCCGUGCCAGCAGCCGCGGUAAUACGGAGGGUGCGAGCGUUAAUCGGAAUUACUGGGCGUAAAGACGCAUGCAGGCGGCCGUGUUAAGUCAGAUGUGAAAGACCCGGGGCGUUAACCUCGGAAUUGCAUUUGUAAACUAGGCAGGCUAGAGUCUUGUAGAGGGGGGUAGGAAGUUUCAGGUGUAGCGGUGAAAUGCGUAGAGAUCUGAAGGAAUACCAGUGGCGAAGGCGGCCCCCUGGACAAAGACUGACGCUCAGAUGCGAAAGCGUGGGGAGCAAACAGGAUUAGAUACCCUGGUAG